Long non-coding RNA from Bufo bufo (common toad), 156 nucleotides. RefSeq lists it as uncharacterized. The transcript has 3 exons. The record is from RefSeq and is a predicted model, not a curated record. Lineage: Eukaryota; Metazoa; Chordata; Amphibia; Anura; Bufonidae.
GCUGGACAAUUGUCCGAGAUCAGCGGCGCCCUGUGCUCAGUACAGCCGGAGGUCUACAUUACAGAAACCCCCCAAUAAUCUGUAAAUCCCGAGCCCCGGGUGUUCUCCACCGCAGCUACGAGACGAGCUGUGCUCGGAGACUGAGGGGUUAAUCCG